UACGUAGGGUCCAAGCGUUAUCCGGAAUUACUGGGCGUAAAGAGUUGCGUAGGUGGCAUAGUAAGCAGAUAGUGAAAUCACCCCGCUCAACGGGGUAAACGCUAGCUGAACUGCUAAGCUUGAGUUCGGGAGAGGUAGCUGGAAUUGCUGGUGUAGGGGUGAAAUCCGUAGAUAUCAGCAAGAACACCGAUGGCGUAGGCAGGCUACUGGCCCGCAACUGACACUAAGGCACGAAAGCGUGGGGAGCGAACGGG
RNAcentral lists this ribosomal RNA (254 nucleotides) under uncultured bacterium. RNAcentral's name for it is "partial 16S ribosomal RNA". It matches the Rfam family "Bacterial small subunit ribosomal RNA", at positions 524 to 776 of the family's 1533-position model. The record is from RNAcentral.